CCUACGGGCGGCAGCAGUGGGGAAUAUUGCACAAUGGGGGAAACCCUGAUGCAGCGACGCCGCGUGAGUGAAGAAGUAAUUCGUUAUGUAAAGCUCUAUCAGCAGGGAAGAAACUGACGGUACCUGAGUAAGAAGCCCCGGCUAACUACAUGCCAGCAGCCGCGGUACUACGUAGGGGGCAAGCGUUAUCCGGAUUUACUGGGGGUAAAGGGAGCGUAGACGGCAGUGCAAGUCUGGAGUGAAAGGCGGGGGGUCAACCCCCGGACUGCUCUGGAAACUGUACGGCUGGAGUGCAGGAGAGGUAAGUGGAAUUCCUAGUGUAGCGGUGAAAUGCGUAGAUAUUAGGAGGAACACCAGUUGCGAAGGCGGCUUACUGGACUGUAACUGACGUUGAGGCUCGAAAGCGUGGGGAGCAAACAGGAUUAGAUACCCGGGUAGUC
Molecule: ribosomal RNA, 440 nt
Filed under: uncultured bacterium
Lineage: Bacteria
Description: partial 16S ribosomal RNA
Rfam family: Bacterial small subunit ribosomal RNA
Source: RNAcentral